Mus musculus (house mouse) is the source of this 3259-nucleotide long non-coding RNA. RefSeq annotates it as predicted gene, 38450. The transcript has 5 exons. Lineage: Eukaryota; Metazoa; Chordata; Mammalia; Rodentia; Muridae. The record is from RefSeq and is a predicted model, not a curated record.
AGGGAGAAGAAGCUGCUGGGGAAGAGAGCUGGAAGUGAAAAAGCUGAAAGUAAAGAAGCUGCUGCCUGAACCCGCCUUGGUGUCCUUGUCGUUCUUGUCUCUGUGAGUCGGAGACUGUGGCAAGUGGUGGCCCUUACGGGGAACUCAUCGCAUUGGUCGGCAAUGCUUCCAGUUUUUACUAGAAGCCCAUCAGAUCCAUGAUCUCUGGAAACCCUAGAGACCGAGAGCACAAGCAAAUCCUAGAAGGAAAGGCAGGAAGCUCAGGAUGCCUGGAUGCUUCUUCUCCACUCAGCAUUUUAACCAGAAAGUAAUGUCCUCUGCCUCUUUAAGGUAAACUGAUGAGGUGGCCAACAUGAAGGUAAUGAUCUUGCAUCAUCACAGUCCAGACUUUCACUUUUAAAUCAUCCAUCUCUAUGAAGAGGAGCCUCAUCAGCACCCUUGCCCAUCUAUGCACUGGUGCUCGAACUGAACCACACAUUUGCUGAAAAUUCAAUCUACGUCUCAAAGAAAUAAAGCAGAGAAGUGAACAAGCCUUUGUUACCACUGUGACCUACAGAGGUGUGAACGAUGUUCUUAGAAGACCUCUUAGACCAAGUGUUGGUGAAGAAGAGAAAGGAAAAAUGUAGGUCAAGGGAAUUCCAGAAAUUUCACGGUAAAAAAGUAUCAUUCAAAAAUUCUAGUUUUAAUAAAAAUCCUCCUUUUCUUUUUAUUACGUAGUUAGUACACAAUGCUGUGCUCUAGAGCAGUGCUGAAGUGAGAAUAAAAUAAGAAUCCUCAACGUACUCUUUUCUUCCUAAUAAAGGCAGCCUCCAGCCUACAAACAUUACAAACAUCCAUUUGUUAGGUGCUCAUGUGGGAUCUGAAAUGCCUUUCCUCAAAGAAUCAAUGCUGUAAAUCAUUGUUUGGUUUUAAGGCUGGCCCUUGUAAGCCUACUUAAAGAAUAAUGUUUCUCAGCUAUCCAACUAUAGACUUCUGGGGACUAGCAAUGGUGAUCUAUGAAGCUGAGCCCUGGGAUGAGGAUCUCAUUUUGAGUGGGAUGCACGAGGAGCAAAGGGCAUUUUCACCUUUAUUCCUCCGUGUAAUGUAGCUCAGGUUAUGGAACCAUAUGUUUUUCAUUAAAAAGUGGCUCACAUGAUUCAACAAAGGUGUUUUUUUCUAAUGAGAAAUAAAAUAAGAAAUAAAAGAAUCCCCCCAGAAUAUCCUAUGUUUGUUAUCAGAACCCUCCAAGUAAAUCCAGCAGGUUUGUUUGCUAUUUAAUCACAACAUUUUCAGGAAAUAUAUGACUGUUCCUUUGUUUUAAUUGAAAAACUCAUCUAGAAGUGGAAAAUUCCUGGAGACUGGUAUAAUUGGGAGAGAGAGAGAGAGAGAGAGAGAGAGAGAGAGAGAGAGAGAGAGAGAGAGAGAAGCAAAGGGGGAAGAAGGGAAGGUUUUUAUGUGAAAACAGGGCCCUCUGGCAGGGUAGAGAGGGAGUUGAGAGGGGUCAGAUGCAAAAGCAGAUUAAGGAGAUAGACUAGGUUAAGAUAAGAAUGAAGAAGCAAUCAAAGAAAAGGAGCCAGGUCAUUUCUGUCUAUGUGUUCUUGUUCUGUGCAGCUCCCACUUUUCUACACUUUAGACUUUAUAGAGUCCCCAAAAGGCAGUAAAGUUUUAACAAUGUGAUCAUGAGAGUGACAAUAUUUAUUGAGGUGGGGGCAUUACUGACAGCUCAUAAAUAUGCCAGGUUCUACACCACAGUUGUUUCUCCUCUGUUUCAUUUUAUCUUCAAAUAGCAAUCUUAUGAGAAGAUAUUGCUUCUUAUAAAUGUAGGAAUGAAGUCACAAAGCAAAGUGACUUUCUCAAAGGAGCAGGUAAGUGAUGAUGAAACAUGUUUUAUGGCAUUAGAACAGGUUUCUAACAGGUUUCUUUCCCUCAUUGUUUGUGCACCCACAAACUUUGUUUCAAUGUAAUUCAAUUCAUUUACUCAGUAAGUUAAAAGGCUCCAUGAAAGUUGCUACUAUAUGCUGGAUACUAUCUUAGAGACUAUUAAUUGAGCUAGCCUUUGCCUUUCAGAAUCUUUUGCUUGGUUGCCAUCUUGGGAAAGAAUCAUAUAAGCAAAUAGGAAUAGAUUAGUCUUUUCUUAUAAGUUAAGGAGACCUGUGUUUCUAAAAUAGUUACACACAGCUGUUGUUGGGGUAUUGAAAGGUGAGUAAACUCUGUCACUACCAAUAAGUCCUCUGUAACUGUAGGCAGAGCCACAGGAUGGAAGGUUUGUCCCGAGUGUCUUUUAUAAACAGACAUUGAAACCCAAAUUCUAAACAUUCCUUUUCCCAAUUAGUAGUACCUUGACUGUGGGCUGCUAAUUUAACUUCAUGGUUUUGUGUAUUUAAUGUAAAAAUUAGAGAUAGUCUAUGCCUAUACAAAUAACAAUGCAACCUGGGUCCAUUUUUAUCAUGCACACUUAAUAUAUCUGACCUAAUAUUAUUAUUAUACUUAUUCUCUACAGGCACAUCUAUUCCAUAUCUGAAUACAAGAUAAUGAAUGCAUGCCCUAGUAUUUUCAUUCUGUUAUUCAUAAAAAUAUCACUUCCCUUGUAUGUUGUAUUUUCCAAGAAUUGUAAAAAUUUUCAACAUUCAUUCAGGUGAUCCCUAUGACGAAUGACCAAACAGACCAACAGAAAGUCAGAUGAUACACAAACCUUCUACCACUCACUUAGCAAUUUUUCGGUGACAACAGAAAAAAAAAAAAAAAAGAAAGCAAAACUCAUGAUGUCCGUGUGAUUCUAAGUGGCUAGUUAUACUUUUGGUUCAACUGGGAGAGCAUACGGAAAGAAGAGAUUUGGUAAUACAUGAACACACACAUACCACUUGGUGGUACUCGGGCUUAUAAUUCUAACUACUCAAGAGGCUGCAACAGGAAGACUGACUGUCCAAGACCACACUUGAUCCUCUGGGCUCCUCCAGAAGGCUGGCUUCACUUCUCCAGUCCUGCCCUCUGUAGCACUGUAAGCUCAGAUGGAUCCACUCCACUGACUGCUACUGCCAGUAUCAUCCCAUGGUACUGGCUUCUCUAAUGCACUGGGAUCUUCCACUGCAACUAGGCUUCACCAAUAGCCUCUCAUAGGCUCUCUUCAUGUACCAAGCCAAAAACACUUUGCAUGACCUCUGCAGUCUUGGGCCAUCAACUACAACUAAGGCUAUACCUUUACCAUUAGCCUUCCAUUGCUUCUCACAGUGCCAAGACUCAGCUGCUCUUCAUGAUCCUUCAUGCCUUCAAAACCAGUACC